CCUACGGGGGGCAGCAGUGGGGAAUAUUGGUCAAUGGAGGAAACUCUGAACCAGCAACGCCGCGUGAAUGAUGAAGGUCUUCGGAUUGUAAGUUCUUUUCUAAGGGAAGAAGAAAGUGACGGUACAUUAGGAAUAAGACUCGGCUCACUACGUGCCAGCAGCCGCGGUAAUAAGUAGGAGGCGAGCGUGAUACGGAAUGACUGGGCGUAAAGGGCGCGUAGGUGGUUUGAUAAGUCGGUAGCGAAACUCCGAGGCUCAACCUCGGCACGUCAACCGAAACUGUCGGACUUGAGUGCAGGAGAGGCAAGUGGAAUUCCUAGUGUAGCGGUGGAAUGCGCAGAUAUUAGGAGGAACACCGGUGGCGAAGGCGAAUUGCUGGACUGUAACUGACACUGAGGCACGAAAGCGUGGGGAGCAAACAGGAUUAGAUACCCGGGUAGUC
This 442-nucleotide ribosomal RNA is filed under the name uncultured bacterium. RNAcentral describes it as "partial 16S ribosomal RNA". It matches the Rfam family "Bacterial small subunit ribosomal RNA", at positions 338 to 795 of the family's 1533-position model. The record is from RNAcentral.